RNAcentral lists this ribosomal RNA (253 nucleotides) under uncultured bacterium. RNAcentral describes it as "partial small subunit ribosomal RNA". It matches the Rfam family "Bacterial small subunit ribosomal RNA", at positions 26 to 285 of the family's 1533-position model. The record is from RNAcentral.
AGGACGAACGCUGGCGGCGUGCUUAACACAUGCAAGUCGAGCGGAAAGGCCCUUCGGGGUACUCGAGCGGCGAACGGGUGAGUAACACGUGAGCAAUCUGCCCUUAGCUUCGGGAUAGCUCCGGGAAACCGGAAUUAAUACCGAAUAUGACUACGGUUGACAUCAGCCAUGGUGGAAAGUUUUUCGGCUAGGGAUGAGCUCGCGGCCUAUCAGCUAGUUGGUGGGGUAACGCCUACCAAGGCGACGACGGGUA